RNAcentral lists this transfer RNA (74 nucleotides) under Omnitrophica bacterium GWA2_52_8. RNAcentral describes it as "tRNA-Val". It matches the Rfam family "tRNA". From Rfam's summary of the family: Transfer RNA (tRNA) molecules are approximately 80 nucleotides in length. Their secondary structure includes four short double-helical elements and three loops (D, anti-codon, and T loops). The record is from RNAcentral. Lineage: Bacteria; Pseudomonadati; Candidatus Omnitrophota.
GGGCGGUUAGCUCAGUUGGUUAGAGCAUCUGCUUUACACGCAGAGGGUCGGAGGUUCAAAUCCUUCACCGCCCA